RNAcentral lists this long non-coding RNA (1170 nucleotides) under Taeniopygia guttata (zebra finch). Its description in RNAcentral is "lncRNA (ENSTGUG00000019239.1)". The record is from RNAcentral. Lineage: Eukaryota; Metazoa; Chordata; Aves; Passeriformes; Estrildidae.
CGGGGGGCGGCCGUGCUGGCGGCAACAGCGACCCCUCCGCUCGCCCGCCCGCCCGCAGCCGCACGAUCGCACCCUGCCAGCGGAGCGCCGGCAGCAUCCCCGCUGGAUGAGGCAUCCCCGGCACCCUCUGGACACAGGCUGGGAUUGCACUCUGCCCUGAGCCAGCUGUGCAUCCAGCCCAGGAAAACCAGGAUUGAACAACAAACCAGGACUGCAGCGAUUCCUUUUGUUGCGGGUAUCCCUCCCUGCGGCUCGUGGGGCUAUAAAUCGGUGUGUGCCUCUGGCCACGGCUUGCUGAGCCCCCCGUGGCUCCAUGAACGCCAAGGUGGUGCCUCCAGCCUGUCAGCAGCUUAUGAGCAUGACAAGGGGGGUGUGGGUGGAAUAAGGGACCCCAUGAAGAGGAGAGAGGCGCUGUAUCCCAGCCCCAUACUGCAGCACAGCCCUUGCACUGGGAAGGAAGGUUCCUGGGCAUCCUGCCCUUUCCAGGAUGAAUCACAGCCACAGGUGCCAUUUUCCAGGUUCUGGCACGUUGCCUGGCACCACACCUUGCAGGAAAGCAGUGCCAGGUCCUGUCCCACGGCGCAGGGCACGAGGGAGGACGGAGGGUGGCACGGAGCUGCCCUCCUGUACGUGCUGCAGAGCAGCCCGUGCCCGGGGCGAGCGGGACUGACCCAGCAGAGCAGCGCUCCUUAAUGAGCAUCAUUAGUUCUGCUCCCAGCAGCGGCUAAUUGCGUAAGGCCGGCACACGGUGGGCUGCCCUGGAGAGGGACGAGGGCAGCGUGUCCACAGCCUGGUCCUUGGGAACAGCCCCCGGGCUGCCAUAAGCAGUGCCAUGUGUAGUAGAUAUAAUUCACACCAUUUCUAGUAUGAUAUGUGUGAUAUUGAAUAUUUGUUGGAGUAUACAUGUUUGUAUUAGGACUGCCCCCACCAUCGCAGGCGAAACCUGGUGUGUGUCAAAACCCGAUUUACACGUAAAAAGAGGUGGCUCGGCCAGGGAUGGGGAUGGGCCAUGUCUGGAGAGAUAAGGGGACCCCAGGCGCUGAUCAUCGUGUGAACGACCCGAGAUGGAUCUCAUGGAAAUCCUCGGGCAGAUCCAUGUGAAUGCAGCGUUCUGUAAAGUUCAUCAAGGGAUUCAGCAACUCCUGACACUGAAUUGUUCUUCUUCAUCAC